AACGAACGCUGGCGGCGGGCCUCAUACAUGCAAGUCGAGCGCGAAAGUCCGCAAGGAUGAGUAAAGCGGCGCACGGGUGAGUAACACGUGGGUAAUCUACCUUUUGGAUUGGAAUAACCUGUCGAAAGACGGGCUAAUGCCGAGUAAGCCUUCUUGAACGUGAAGUUCGAGACGGGAAAGAUGGCGCAAGCUAUCGCCGAAAGAUGAGCCUGCGUCCCAUUAGUUAGUUGGUGGGGUAAUGGCUUACCAAGACAAUGAUGGGUACCUGGUUUGAGAGAAUGAUCAGGCACACUGGAACUGAAACACGGUCCAGACUCCUACGGGAGGCAGCAGUAGGGAAUAUUGCGCAAUGGACGAAAGUCUGACGCAGCCAUGCCGCGUGAGUGA
This 387-nucleotide ribosomal RNA is filed under the name uncultured bacterium. RNAcentral describes it as "bacterial SSU rRNA". It matches the Rfam family "Bacterial small subunit ribosomal RNA", at positions 29 to 408 of the family's 1533-position model. The record is from RNAcentral.